Molecule: ribosomal RNA, 256 nt
Filed under: uncultured bacterium
Lineage: Bacteria
Description: partial 16S ribosomal RNA
Rfam family: Bacterial small subunit ribosomal RNA
Source: RNAcentral
CGGACGGGUGAGUAACGCGUGGAUAACCUGCCGUAUACCGGGGGAGUAACACUUAGAAAUAGGUGCUAAUACCGCAUAAGCGCACGGCUCCGCAUGGGGCAGUGUGAAAAACUCCGGUGGUAUACGAUGGAUCCGCGUCUGAUUAGCUAGUUGGCGGGGUAACGGCCCACCAAGGCAGCGAUCAGUAGCCGGCCUGAGAGGGUGGACGGCCACAUUGGGACUGAGACACGGCCCAAACUCCUACGGGAGGCAGCAG